GGAUGAACGCUGGCGGCGUGCUUAAUACAUGCAAGUCGAACGGAGACUGUAGCAAUACUGUCUUAGUGGCGAACGGGUGAGUAACGCGUUGGUGACCUGCCCCGAAGAGGGGGAUAACAGUCCGAAAGGAUUGCUAAUACCCCAUGUGGUCGUUUGGAUUAGAUGCCUUACGACUAAACGGAUUUAUUCGCUUCGGGAGGGGCCUGCGUCCCAUCAGCUAGUUGGUAGGGUAAUAGCCUACCAAGGCGAUGACGGGUAGGGGACCUGAGAGGGUGGCCCCCCACAAUGGAACUGAAACACGGUCCAUACACCUACGGGUGGCAGCAGUAGGGAAUAUUGGUAAUCUGGGAAACCGGGAACCAGCAACGCCGCGUGCGCGAUGAAGGCCUUCGGGUUGUAAAGCGCUUUUUAAAGGGAUGAGGAAGGACAGUACCUUUAGAAUAAGCCUCGGCUAACUACGUGCCAGCAGCCGCGGUAAAACGUAGGAGGCGAGCGUUAUCCGGAUUUACUGGGCGUAAAGCGUGUGCAGGCGGUUUGAUAAGUUGGAUGUGAAAGCUCCUGGCUUAACCGGGAGAGGUCGUUCAAAACUAUCAGACUAGAGAGUGGUAGAGGGAGAUGGAAUUCCGCGUGUAGUGGUGAAAUGCGUAGAUAUGCGGAGGAACACCAGUGGCGAAAGCGGUCUCCUGGCCCAUUUCUGACGCUCAGACACGAAAGCUAAGGUAGCAAACGGGAUUAGAGACCCCGGUAGUCUUAGCUGUAAACGAUGUGAACUUAGUGUCGGUGGGGUUAAAUCCAUCGGUACUGAAGCUAACGCGAUAAGUUCACCGCCUGGGGACUACGGCCGCAAGGUUAAAACUCAAAGGAAUUGACGGGGCCCCGCACAAGCAGCGGAGCGUGUGGUUUAAUUCGAUGCUACACGAAGAACCUUACCAGGGUUUGACAUGCAAGUGGUAGGAAGCUGAAAAGUGACCGACCCUUCGGGGAGCUUGCACAGGUGCUGCAUGGCUGUCGUCAGCUCGUGCCGUGAGGUGUUGGGUUAAGUCCCGCAACGAGCGCAACCCUUGUCCUUAGUUGCUAACACGAAAGGUGAGCACUCUAAGGAGACUGCCCCAGUCAAUGGGGAGGAAGGUGGGGAUGACGUCAAGUCAUCAUGGCCCUUAUAUCCCGGGCUGCACACGUGCUACAAUGGCCGGUACAAUGGGUAGCGACACCGCGAGGUGGAGCCAAUCUCAAAAACCGGUCUCAGUUCGGAUUGAAGUCUGCAACUCGACUUCAUGAAGCUGGAAUCGCUAGUAAUGGCGGAUCAGCUACGCCGCCGUGAAUACGUUCCCGGGCCU
This 1337-nucleotide ribosomal RNA is filed under the name uncultured bacterium. Its description in RNAcentral is "bacterial SSU rRNA". It matches the Rfam family "Bacterial small subunit ribosomal RNA", at positions 27 to 1381 of the family's 1533-position model. The record is from RNAcentral.